CCUACGGGAGGCAGCAGUGAGGAAUAUUGGUCAAUGGACGAGAGUCUGAACCAGCCACGUAGCGUGAAGGAUGACUGCUCUAUGGGUUGUAACCUUCUUUUAUAAGGGAAUAAAACGAGGUACGUGUGCCUUAUUGCAUGUAUUUUAUGGAUAAGGCACGGCUAACUCCGUGCAAGCCGCCGCGGUAAUCCGGAGGGUCCGAGCGUUAUCCGGAUUUAGUGGGUUUUAAGGGAGCGUAGAUGGCAUGUUAAGCAUGUUGUGAAAGUUUGGGGCUCAACCGUAGAAGUGCAAUUGAUACUGGCAGUCUUGAGUACAGUGGAGGCAAGCGGAAUUCGUGGUGUAGCGGUGAAAUGCUUAGAUAUCACGAAGAACCCCGAUUGCGAAGGCAGCUUACUGAACUGUGACUGACACUGAUGCUCGAAAGUGUGGGUAUCAAACAGGAUUAGAUACCCGUGUAGUA
This 460-nucleotide ribosomal RNA is filed under the name uncultured bacterium. RNAcentral describes it as "partial 16S ribosomal RNA". It matches the Rfam family "Bacterial small subunit ribosomal RNA", at positions 338 to 795 of the family's 1533-position model. The record is from RNAcentral.